RNAcentral lists this transfer RNA (64 nucleotides) under Cantonius szechuanensis. Its description in RNAcentral is "tRNA-Ala". The record is from RNAcentral. Lineage: Eukaryota; Metazoa; Arthropoda; Insecta; Coleoptera; Buprestidae.
AGGAUAAUAGUUUAUAUAAAUAUCUAACUUGCACUUAGAAGUUGCUGAAUAUUUGGCCUAUCUU